UGUUAUGGCGGCUAUGCGUUGGAGGCCUUAGGGCCUGCCGGAUACCUUUCCCCGGUCGACCAACCUGCGCACAGCUGCCACCCAU
This 85-nucleotide non-coding RNA is filed under the name Pseudomonas sp. WPR_5_2. The record is from RNAcentral. Lineage: Bacteria; Pseudomonadati; Pseudomonadota; Gammaproteobacteria; Pseudomonadales; Pseudomonadaceae.